UACGGAGGGUGCAAACGUUGCUCGGAAUCAUUGGGCGUAAAGCGCACGUAGGUGGCCUGUUAAGUCGGGUGUGAAAUCCCUGGGCUCAACCCAGGAAGUGCACUCGAAACUGGCGGGCUUGAGUACUGAAGAGGGUCGCGGAAUUCCCGGUGUAGAGGUGAAAUUCGUAGAUAUCGGGAGGAACACCAGUGGCGAAGGCGGCGACCUGGGCAGAUACUGACACUGAGGCACGAAAGCGUGGGGAGCAAACAGG
Molecule: ribosomal RNA, 253 nt
Filed under: uncultured bacterium
Lineage: Bacteria
Description: partial 16S ribosomal RNA
Rfam family: Bacterial small subunit ribosomal RNA
Source: RNAcentral